CAGUAGGGAAUCUUCCACAAUGGGCGAAAGCCUGAUGGAGCAACGCCGCGUGAGUGAAGAAGGAUUUCGGUUCGUAAAACUCUGUUGUAAGGGAAGAACAAGUACAGUAGUAACUGGCUGUACCUUGACGGUACCUUAUUAGAAAGCCACGGCUAACUACGUGCCAGCAGCCGCGGUAAUACGUAGGUGGCAAGCGUUGUCCGGAAUUAUUGGGCGUAAAGCGCGCGCAGGUGGUUUCUUAAGUCUGAUGUGAAAGCCCACGGCUCAACCGUGGAGGGUCAUUGGAAACUGGGAGACUUGAGUGCAGAAGAGGAUAGUGGAAUUCCAAGUGUAGCGGUGAAAUGCGUAGAGAUUUGGAGGAACACCAGUGGCGAAGGCGACUAUCUGGUC
This 390-nucleotide ribosomal RNA is filed under the name Lysinibacillus fusiformis. RNAcentral describes it as "bacterial SSU rRNA". It matches the Rfam family "Bacterial small subunit ribosomal RNA", at positions 352 to 734 of the family's 1533-position model. The record is from RNAcentral. Lineage: Bacteria; Bacillati; Bacillota; Bacilli; Caryophanales; Bacillaceae.